Molecule: non-coding RNA, 145 nt
Organism: Hordeum vulgare subsp. vulgare (domesticated barley)
Lineage: Eukaryota; Viridiplantae; Streptophyta; Magnoliopsida; Poales; Poaceae
Source: Rfam
UUUGCAGGAUAAGUGUGUAUCGGUUAAAUGCCUCGUCUGUGCAUUUCUUGCCGAAAGUUUUUCCUUGCUAUAUUAAUUUGAGGAAAAUGGGCAGUUAGGUUGGGCUUGAUAAUCUCUUUCACUAACAAUCAUUUUCCUCUCAUUU